CAGUAGCCGCGGGAAUACGUAGGGUGCGAGCGUUAAUCGGAAUUACUGGGCGUAAAGCGUGCGCAGGCGGGUUUGUAAGACAGGCGUGAAAUCCCCGGGCUCAACCUGGGAAUGGCGCUUGUGACUGCAAAGCUAGAGUGCGGCAGAGGGGGGUGGAAUUCCGCGUGUAGCAGUGAAAUGCGUAGAUAUGCGGAGGAACACCGAUGGCGAAGGCAAUCCCCUGGGCCUGCACUGACGCUCAUGCACGAAAGCGUGGGGAGCAAACAGGAUUAGAUACCCCAGUAGUCCCUGUCUCUUAUAC
This 301-nucleotide ribosomal RNA is filed under the name uncultured bacterium. RNAcentral's name for it is "partial 16S ribosomal RNA". It matches the Rfam family "Bacterial small subunit ribosomal RNA", at positions 509 to 807 of the family's 1533-position model. The record is from RNAcentral.